AUUGAACGCUGGCGGCAUGCCUUACACAUGCAAGUCGAACGGUAACAGGUCUUCGGAUGCUGACGAGUGGCGAACGGGUGAGUAAUACAUCGGAACGUGCCUAGUAGUGGGGGAUAACUACUCGAAAGAGUGGCUAAUACCGCAUGAGAUCUACGGAUGAAAGCAGGGGAUCGCAAGACCUUGUGCUACUAGAGCGGCCGAUGGCAGAUUAGGUAGUUGGUGGGAUAAAAGCUUACCAAGCCAACGAUCUGUAGCUGGUCUGAGAGGACGAUCAGCCACACUGGGACUGGGACACGGCCCAGACUCCUACGGGAGGCAGCAGUGGGGAAUUUUGGACAAUGGGCGAAAGCCUGAUCCAGCAAUGCCGCGUGCAGGAUGAAGGCCUUCGGGUUGUAAACUGCCUUUGUACGGAACGAAAAGCCCCGGGUUAAUACCCUGGGGUCAUGACGGUACCGUAAGAAUAAGCACCGGCUAACUACGUGCCAGCAGCCGCGGUAA
RNAcentral lists this ribosomal RNA (498 nucleotides) under uncultured bacterium. RNAcentral's name for it is "partial 16S ribosomal RNA". It matches the Rfam family "Bacterial small subunit ribosomal RNA", at positions 30 to 523 of the family's 1533-position model. The record is from RNAcentral.